AACUUAUCGUUUUGCGCUAAAAUACAUCAAUGUGUGUGAAAUUCGUUGUCAUUGCUUUUGUUUUGAACAUCAUAUUCGUGCCUGCCGGUGGAAAAAUUAGAGCGACAUAUUAGUGCAUUGGCUCGGAGAAAUAAAUGAAGCGCUACUGGAGGCAAAUUAAAAUAUCUCCCUCAGCAAAAAUGAGACUCUCGAUCA
Rhagoletis zephyria (snowberry fruit fly) is the source of this 195-nucleotide long non-coding RNA. RefSeq lists it as uncharacterized. The record is from RefSeq and is a predicted model, not a curated record. Lineage: Eukaryota; Metazoa; Arthropoda; Insecta; Diptera; Tephritidae.